GCCCGGUAGUCCAGUGGCUAGCACGUCGGCUUCACAGUGCAGAGGUACCGGGUUCGAUUCCAGCUCCGGCCUCCCUGUGUGGAGUUUGCAUGUUCUCCCCGGGCCUACGUGGGUUUUCUCCGGGUGCUCCGGUUUCCUCCCACAUUCCAAAAAUAUGCAUGGCAGUCUGAUUGAACACUCUAAAUUGUCCCUAGGUGUGAGUACGAAUUGUUGUUCGUUUCUGUGUGCCCUGCGAUUGGCUGGCAACCGAUUCAGGGUGUCCCCCGCCUACUGCCCGAAGACAGCUGGGAUAGGCUCCAGCACCCCCCGCGACCCUAGUGAGGAUCAAGCGGCUCGGAAGAUGAAUGAAUGAAUGUUACCACCUGCUGCUUCACUAAGUAUAAAGACAAAAAAAAUCCAAAUUAAUUAAUCCAGUUAAUUAAUUGCAAGUAAACACAUUGACGCUUUAAUUGAAAGUGAAAAUUAAGGGCGAGAGUCAGCGUAGAAGAGGAUCGAGUUGGAGGCGACAGGAAGUUCAUUGUGUCUUCAUAUUUUUGAUGUUGUUGUUACUUUCAGCAUCUGCGUCAGCACUUUCCACCCACUCGCCUUGAUUUUUGCAGUUGGCAGCAUCAUUAGCGAGCGUCUCGGACAGCGCCUGACCUUUCCACCCCUUCUGCGGUUGUGCUCGUUCUGAGCUGGCUAUCAAGUUUGGUCACGUCCUCGGCCCGAUUGCUUUAAGUUCAUUAGCGGAAGGUGAUGUGACAGCACAUUAAAUGCCAGGAAGGUACGACGGAAACACACUCAACACAAGUCAUCCGUUUUGUCGCAUCAGCAGAUUGUUUGUACUAUAAUUACAGUCCAUUAAAAUGCUGUUUAUCGUUAUUUCGCUACAGGAUAUGUGGCUCAAGAAACGCCAUCUGUCAGAUUAACAAGGCAACCGCUUCUCCAGCUUUUUCGACAUGCAUUGCGUAAACAUUUUAGCAAUCGUUUGUCAACUGUUGAGGCCCCUGAUUAUCAUUUUUUUUCUUAUUGUAACCAUAGAAACAUGUUUCUUCAGUUUGCAUAUUUACAUAAGCCUCAGGCUUCAAUUGCUUUGUGGGAUAAUGUGCCCACUGUUAUCAUUAAGCUAGACAGGUAAUAAUCAGGCAAACAAAUCCUCAAUUUUGUAUGAAUAUUCAUUGGUUGGAUCACAGCUCAAGGGGCAUACCAAGUCGCGGAGUUCAAUCAGGGGUGCAAGUAAGGAUUUCAUGUGAAUCUCAUCAGGGCCUUCAACACAAGCAAGACAUUUAGUCAAACCCUGACCUCGUGGAGUUUUAUGGGCAGUCGUCAACUUUGGCUGCGUUGAGCUGCUCACAUCCAAUGCCAAAUACACGAGAUUUUUGCGAUGUCAAAUGUUGUAAACGUCUUUCCUGUGUGGAUAAAAUCUCAAGGACGGAUUUCUCUUUGUGUGAGCCCUGGAAAUAUCAAAUAUCAACCAUAAAAUGGCCGCUUUGAACAAAAUCGUAGAAUAUGCGUAUAUGUAUUAAUUUGUUCCGUUUUUUUUUUUUGACAUGGCGCUCGGUUGACGUUAUAAAAACUGACGGGAGUAAGAUUUCCCCGUCCCAGAUCUAAAGGUUACUGCUGCUUUUCCCAUUGCUCGACUCAUCGAUGCCGAGAGAAAGAGCCAAAUCGAUGAAUACAUUGUCAGCAUUUAACACUGGGCACGAUCCAAACAUGAUCCAUUGAUCUGUGAGUGUGUCGCUCUUUGUGUGGAACCGUGCCCACUGGCCAGUUGGCUGGUUGCGACAAAUGCCGAUAAGCAAGCCUCUCAAAGAUUAGAUUUUUUUUUUUUUUUUUUUUGGUAUCAUGAUAUGCUCUGCUCUUCAGGGGGAAAAGAAAUCUUUACCAAAGCAACAAUUUAGAUUGAAUCUUAAAGACUAGUGACCCUAUUUUCAGGUCCAGAACAUGGGUGGAGUUUUAUUCUUUUGGUAUUUUCGCAGGUAGAAAGGGGCGUUUACGCAGUUGUGGGAGUGAACACGCACUUGUUUACCAGCCAAUGGCAUUCCCUUUCAAUUCAGCACAGGAGCGGCGCGCACAGUCUUUGACAUUGCCGAAGUAAAAAUAAAGCUAGCUCGAGUCCAUAUAUUAAGAAACAUAAACACUUCUUACACUUUUUAUACAUAACCUCAGUGAAUUGAACGUCGUUCCACUUUAAAAUAAGCCGUCCUUGAAUCAAAUCACACCCCAGGUAUUGAGAUGUAAAAUUGUCUUUUAAAGCGGACGUGCAAACACGGAGUGUUUAUGUAAGACAUUUGGGGUUUUUUUGUCCGUGCUGUUUGCCAGAAUAUUACUUUUAACGGCAUAUAUGAUAAUAAAAAAUAAAUAAAUGCCUACUUCAAAGAUGAUUUGAGUCGAGAACGUUCCACAUGAAGUUUCGGGGCCAAGACAGAUAAGCAUGGCGCAAAAUUGUGCCGAUGAACGCCACCGGCAGGAGAUAUGACGUUCAGUGGACACUGAAGCCAGUCCAGGCAUAAAUACAGGUGCUUUAAUUAGAAACUAAAUAAUGAAACAGAAUGGCGUGCGCCUGGAGCGUAAAAAAAUAGAAGUGGCGAGCGAGAGAAAAUGGUUCUCUUGGCUUUGUGCCUCGAAGCGUGGUAGGUUUUUAAUGAACGAAUGUAAAGUAAUCACGAACGGUGGCGCAUUCAUGGUGCGGCGCGAUGGGUGACCUUUUGCAUUUGAACAAAACUAAAAAUUGCAUUGCUUUAACCCAUUUCUUUCUACGAACCUGUAAGACACCCCGCCCCCCCCCCCCACCCCCUGUCAUCUGACAACCCUCGCAGUGCUUCACCAACCGUCUCAAACAUUCUCUCUCUCCCCUGCUGCUGGCUCAAUGUGAUUUUGUUUACCCACCCCCCAUCCCCCUCCCCGCCCCCCGCCACCCCCAAGUGUGCCAUUUCCAAUUUUAAUAGAAGUGCCUCUCUGUUCACCUGUGUUGAGAAUUAAAAUGGACUUGUUGAUGGUUUGGAGGUGCCCGCGCGUUCAUGGUUGAGUAGUCUCUCAUUUCGGCGGCUCACCAGCUUGAAGGUGAAGAGCGCGGUGAUGAUGUGAGCGCCUCCUAAUGACGUGUACGAGUUGUGCUCUUGCUGUUUACGGUCAAAACCAAGUUUCAUGUGAUAAUACUGCUUUGGUGCCAUUUUAUUGCAUCUUGAUGCCAAGCAACUAGGUUGAACUGAGGUGAGGAAAUUCAUUUAAUCAGGCCAUAGCCUUGUCUAAAAGAAAAAUCGCUUUGUUGCAAUGAUGGGGCAUUAAUAGGCAAUCGCAAACUUUUUUGGUUGCCGUAAAAACAUUUUAUACAGAUUUUGGCACUCUGGAAUGUCAUUUUGGAUUUUCAAGCAUCACGUCCUGUCAUAUUCUUUAAUUUUGAAAGAGGUGUUAUGUGGCCGAUGCAAAUUAGAUUUUAAGCCAGGAUACCCUCUGUUGAUCUUGUUACAAUUAUUGCUUAAUUUCUGAACUGGACACUCCCUGUGCCAUCUGAAUUAGUGAUAGAAGGAGAGGUAGGGGGUGAUCCUGCAAAUAUCUAAUAUAUUUCAUUUAUGAGCCAAUUCACAACCUGCGCGUGAGCCAAACAAGGUGAAAUUUGAAGAGGUAAAAAAAAAUGAAAA
Long non-coding RNA from Hippocampus zosterae (dwarf seahorse), 3620 nucleotides. RefSeq lists it as uncharacterized. The transcript is spliced from 2 exons. The record is from RefSeq and is a predicted model, not a curated record. NCBI's taxonomy places the organism in Eukaryota, Metazoa, Chordata, Actinopteri, Syngnathiformes, Syngnathidae.